CCUACGGGACGCAGCAGUGAGGAAUAUUGGUCAAUGGGCGAGAUCCUGAACCAGCCAAGUCGCGUGAGGGAAGACGGUCCUAUGGAUUGUAAACCUCUUUUGCCGGAGAACAAAAACCGGGACGUGUCCCGCAUCGCGAGUAUCCGGAGAAAAAGCAUCGGCUAACUCCGUGCCAGCAGCCGCGGUAAUACGGAGGAUGCGAGCGUUAUCCGGAUUUAUUGGGUUUAAAGGGUGCGCAGGCGGCGCGUUAAGUCAGCGGUAAAAUUUCGGGGCUCAACCCCGACAAGCCGUUGAAACUGGC
Molecule: ribosomal RNA, 301 nt
Filed under: uncultured bacterium
Lineage: Bacteria
Description: bacterial SSU rRNA
Rfam family: Bacterial small subunit ribosomal RNA
Source: RNAcentral